CAGCCGCCGCGGUAAUACGUAGGUGGCAAGCGUUGUCCGGAAUUAUUGGGCGUAAAGGGCUCGCAGGCGGUUUCUUAAGUCUGAUGUGAAAGCCCCCGGCUCAACCGGGGAGGGUCAUUGGAAACUGGGAAACUUGAGUGCAGAAGAGGAGAGUGGAAUUCCACGUGUAGCGGUGAAAUGCGUAGAGAUGUGGAGGAACACCAGUGGCGAAGGCGACUCUCUGGUCCGUAACUGACGCUGAGGAGCGAAAGCGUGGGGAGCGAACAGGAUUAGAUACCCGAGUAGUCCCUGUCUCUUAUAA
RNAcentral lists this ribosomal RNA (301 nucleotides) under uncultured bacterium. RNAcentral's name for it is "partial 16S ribosomal RNA". It matches the Rfam family "Bacterial small subunit ribosomal RNA", at positions 509 to 809 of the family's 1533-position model. The record is from RNAcentral.